UACGUAGGGUGCAAGCGUUUGUCCGGAAUUAUUGGGCGUAAAGAGCUCGUAGGCGGUCUGUCGCGUCGGCUGUGAAAUCCCGGAGCUCAACUCCGGGUCUGCAGUCGAUACGGGCAAACUGGAGUACUGCAGGGGAGACUGGAAUUCCUGGUGUAGCGGUGGAAUGCGCAGAUAUCAGGAGGAACACCGAUGGCGAAGGCAGAUCUCUGGGCCGUAACUGACGCUGAGGAGCGAAAGCAUGGGGGAGCGAACAGG
Molecule: ribosomal RNA, 255 nt
Filed under: uncultured bacterium
Lineage: Bacteria
Description: partial 16S ribosomal RNA
Rfam family: Bacterial small subunit ribosomal RNA
Source: RNAcentral